AGUGAACGCUGGCGGUAGGCCUAACACAUGCAAGUCGAACGGUAGCACAGUAAGAGCUUGCUCUUACGGGUGGCGAGUGGCGGACGGGUGAGGAAUACAUCGGAAUCUACUUUUUCGUGGGGGAUAACGUAGGGAAACUUACGCUAAUACCGCAUACGACCUACGGGUGAAAGCAGGGGAUCUUCGGACCUUGCGCGAUUGAAUGAGCCGAUGUCGGAUUAGCUAGUUGGCGGGGUAAAGGCCCACCAAGGCGACGAUCCGUAGCUGGUCUGAGAGGAUGAUCAGCCACACUGGAACUGAGACACGGUCCAGACUCCUACGGGAGGCAGCAGUGGGGAAUAUUGGACAGUGGGCGCAAGCCUGAUCCAGCCAUACCGCGUGGGUGAAGAGGCCUUCGGGUUGUAAAGCCCUUUUGUUGGGAAAGAAAAGCAGCAGGUUAAUACCCCGCUGUUCUGACGGUACCCAAAGAAUAAGCACCGGCUAACUUCGUG
This 491-nucleotide ribosomal RNA is filed under the name uncultured bacterium. Its description in RNAcentral is "partial 16S ribosomal RNA". It matches the Rfam family "Bacterial small subunit ribosomal RNA", at positions 29 to 507 of the family's 1533-position model. The record is from RNAcentral.